UACGUAGGGGGCAAGCGUUGUCCGGAAUCAUUGGGCGUAAAGCGCGUGUAGGCGGCCAGAAAAGUCCGCUGUGAAAACUCGAGGCUCAACUUCGAGCUGUCGGUGGAAACUUUCUGGCUAGAGUCCGGAAGAGGAGAAUGGAAUUCCUGGUGUAGCGGUGAAAUGCGCAGAUAUCAGGAGGAACACCGGUGGCGAAGGCGGGUCUCUGGGCCGAUACUGACGCUGAGGAGCGAAAGCAUGGGUAGCGAACAGG
This 253-nucleotide ribosomal RNA is filed under the name uncultured bacterium. RNAcentral's name for it is "partial 16S ribosomal RNA". It matches the Rfam family "Bacterial small subunit ribosomal RNA", at positions 524 to 776 of the family's 1533-position model. The record is from RNAcentral.